UACGGGGGGGGCAAGCGUUGUUCGGAAUUACUGGGCGUAAAGGGCUCGUAGGCGGCCAACUAAGUCAGACGUGAAAUCCCACGGCUCAACCGUGGAAGUGCCCCCGAUACUGCCUGUCUCGAGGGAGAUAGGGGCGUGCGGAACUUCCGGUGGGGCGGUGAAAUGCGUAGAUAUCGGAAGGAACACCGGUGGCGAAAGCGGCGCGCUGGAUCUCUUCUGACGCUGAUGCGCGAAAGCCAGGGGAGCAAACGGG
RNAcentral lists this ribosomal RNA (253 nucleotides) under uncultured bacterium. RNAcentral describes it as "partial 16S ribosomal RNA". It matches the Rfam family "Bacterial small subunit ribosomal RNA", at positions 524 to 776 of the family's 1533-position model. The record is from RNAcentral.